This 492-nucleotide ribosomal RNA is filed under the name uncultured bacterium. RNAcentral describes it as "partial 16S ribosomal RNA". It matches the Rfam family "Bacterial small subunit ribosomal RNA", at positions 29 to 507 of the family's 1533-position model. The record is from RNAcentral.
AGUGAACGCUGGCGGUAGGCCUAACACAUGCAAGUCGAACGGCAGCACAGUAAGAGCUUGCUCUUACGGGUGGCGAGUGGCGGACGGUUGAGGAAUACAUCGGAAUCUACUUUUUCGUGGGGGAUAACGUAGGGAAACUUACGCUAAUACCGCAUACGACCUACGUGUGAAAGCAGGGGAUCUUCGGACCUUGCGCGAUUGAAUGAGCCAAUGUCGGAUUAGCUAGUUGGCGGGGUAAAGGCCCACCAAGGCGACGAUCCGUAGCUGGUCUGAGAGGAUGAUCAGAUACAUUGGAACAGAGAAAGGGCACAGACUCCUAGGGGAGGAAGCAGUGGGGAAUAUUGGACAAGGGGCGAAAGCCUGAUACAGCCAUACCGCGUGGGUGAAGAAGGCCUUAGGGUUGUAAAGCCAUUUUGUUGGGAAAGAAAAGCAGCAGGUUAAUACCCCGCUGUAAUGACGGUACCGAAAGAAUAAGCACCGGCUAACUUCGUG